RNAcentral lists this small RNA (29 nucleotides) under Bombyx mori (domestic silkworm). RNAcentral's name for it is "piRNA piR-bmo-1841985". The record is from RNAcentral. Lineage: Eukaryota; Metazoa; Arthropoda; Insecta; Lepidoptera; Bombycidae.
UUACCGACCUACGUAUCGCGUCUGCGAAC